This is a long non-coding RNA of Equus caballus (horse), 7499 nucleotides long. The record is from Ensembl. Lineage: Eukaryota; Metazoa; Chordata; Mammalia; Perissodactyla; Equidae.
ACUCAAGCUUACUUAGGGGGAUGAAAUCAACAGUCCUUUGGAAUGGAUUGAAGAGACAAUAAUUACACCCUUCUUCCUUGAAGACAGAUGCAAGUGGAGAGAAGUUACAGCUGAAUACCAGGUAUCCAGUCCCUAGCCCGGCGCACAGUACAAAUACAAGAAGUAUUUGGAGAAUGAGUAAAUGAAUGGUCUAACCAAUGAAUGACUCUUCCAACUACCUCACAAAGAAAUAUGCAAAGUAUGCUCAUUGCUCCCUACUUGCUAAGGCAAGAGACUCCAACAAAGCAUUUUAAGUAGACUUUCAAGUUGGGCUAAACCCAGAUGAUUUGCCUUACAUUACCUGGAAAACCCCAUUUCCAGAAUAUUUUGCUUCAUCAGAGUUUCCCUGGAUGCUUCCUGAAAUAGGACCACAUUCAGAGCCACGAAUUAGAAGAAAGUUCCCCGAAACCUCCAAACAAGGACCGUCAUCAGCGUCUGAUGAAUGAACCUCUGCAAAUAGCUUGGGUCUCCUUGGAAGCAUGGGCCAUUCCAACUGUGAGCUAACCAGCAUCUCUGUGCUUUUCCUCUCGAGAUAAGAAGUAUUAAAUCACCCAAAGGGCAAGUCACCCAAAGGUGAGGUCAUUUAUUUCUGCUCCCUGGUGAGCAAGUGGUCUGUUCCUUGGUGCUACACGUGAUAAGACUUAGGUAAUGGAACAUCAGAGCACGUUGCCACUGGGGCAAGGUUCACGGUCAGCAGGGGUGGCAAAUUGUAUCCUGCCAGUACAUGUCCUCCUGUUCGCCAGCUCCAUGGGAAAGUACCCUUAUGCCAGACAAGCCAGGAAUCCUCUAAAAAGGCCAACCCUAACUUAUUUUGCUUGGUGUAAUACUUAACUCUGGAGUGAGGAGUCCACACAGCAAUUAAGUUAAUGCUGACUUUUUUGUCAGUAGCUAAUACAUAUACACAGAUCCCUUAGAAGCAAUAAUUAAUCUCCAUGUACAGUCACACCGUGACCCAGAGUGUAUCAAAUCCUCUCAGUCAAUGCUGUGAGGUAGAGACUAGCACCCCCAUCUUGUUAGUGAGAAAGCAGAGGACUGAGGCCCUUUAACCUGCCCCAGAGCCCACAGUCAAUAAAUGGCAAACUCCACACCCCAGACCGUCUCAUUCAAAACUUGUGUUCCACGUGUGGUGAUGGGUUAUAAUUAGUCUCUGGGUGGUGAACAUGAUGUAAUCUACACAGAAUUCAAAAUAUAUUUUAAAAAACAAUAAAACCUUCAUCUAUUCAAAAAGAAAACCCUCUUCAAAAGGAAACAUUAAAAAGUGAAAAAGUAAGCCAACUAAUGACAGGAUGUAUUUACAUUACCUAAUAAUGCAAAGGUCUUAUUAUCAAAAUGUAUAAAAACCUCUUAUAACAUCAUAAUUAGGAGACAAAUUACCAAACAAAAAUGGGCAAAAGAUGCUCAAUAUCUCUAGUCUUUGGGAAAAUGCAAAAUAGAACACAAUGAUGUAUUACUGCACGCCCCUUGAAGAGUUAAAAUUAAAAAGAUUGACAAUACUAAGUAUUGGUGAAGAUAUGGAGCAAAUGAAAUUUUCACACAUUUCUAAUGGAAAUGCAAAUGGUAUGUCUACUUUGAAAACUAGUUUUCCAAUGUCUUAUAAUGUUAAAACACACUUAUCAUGCAAUCCUACUUCCAGGUACUUUUCCAAAUGAAAUAAAGACGUGACUGCAAAAUAAAAAGUUUUUUAAACCCACCUGUGUUCUUCCUAGUUUGUGGGCCUACUGAGCAGCGAGUCCACUUGGGCAGCAAGCAAGCAGCUCUGAACAGAGUGGCUUCUUGCCUUCAUGCAUUUGCUCAAUCAGUGGAUGCUAAAAUGACAGAAGCUCUAAUGCUCAGGGAUGUUCUGCAAAAUUUUUUACAUGGAAAGGGGUCCUAUACUUGUGUAUUAAUUAUGAAUCUUAGGACACAAACUUAGAAGCAUAAGAAAUAUAAUUUUAUUUUUCUAGAACAGAACUUAAUUUUUAUUAUAAGCCCCUAAAUUUGCUGGUUUGGUGGAAACUGAAUUUGCACCAUUUAAGGUAUUCCUUCCCUCCCCCUUCGUUCUUUUCCCCAGGGUUGUGGCCAACUUCCAAAGUGCUUUUGAGGAGCCAAAAGGUAAGGGUGGAGGCCCAUCUGGUCCUCCCCCAUCUGGUCCAGCCAUGGCACCACCACCAAGAAAGCCAUAACCCCUCUGAUCUUCAUCAGGUGGUCCCUGAGUCAUUCCAGCCUCCCCACCCCUCUCAGCUACCCCUGGGUCCUGUUCCACACCGGAAGUGGAAACUUGGCCAGGUGGCCUCAGCCCUUUCUGCCUGAACACACCACAGCCUGCUCCUCUGAGGUCCUGCCUCAGUCCCAGGCCCUUCCAUUAGGAGUAAGGGGGAAAAGCCUCUUUCUCAGGAACCGCCCACAUCUACACCAGUGACACAAUGUCCCUCUCUAUAGCAAUCAUUUCUAAUGCCCUCUUUGCUUUCUUGAAAUGGAAUUUGUAGCUAAUAUAAUCUAUCAAAUAUAAUUUCUUAUCAAAUAUAACUGGCUUUGAAAACCAACAGGGAAUACGCCCAGGAAAACUAUAAAACUUCAGGGAAAGAAAAACCGGCUCUUAAAGGGCCCACACCCAGAUUCAUUCAACCUGGAAACCAGCAUGAAAACAUCAGCUAGAAAAGUGCAUAGUCCAUUGGUAAAGAUACUAACUUCCUAAGCUUGGAGCACAUCCCAGAGAAGCAGAAGGUGGCAGGCCCACCCCCCAGGGACUGACACUCUGGUGGCAGUCAUUACUGUGACCUAGUUCAGUCAUGCUGACAGAGACACCGGCAGGCACCAUUGGAAUCCUUCCUCUAGCCUGUCAGUGCAGAGGUCUGCCCUGCCCACUAGAGAGCCUGAGGCAAUUGAAUGCAAGCAGCCCACCCCAGGAACCGCCCCACCCACCAAUUUGUGGGCCUGCUGCAGACUUGUGCCACUGGCCACCUCAAGCAGCCACACAGGAGAUCUACCCCACUUACCACUGGCUGAAAAGGAUGUACACUGACAUGCCUGGGGCCUGUGCCACCCAUCAGCACUCCCAAAGCAGCUGUGUGCCACAGGGAGCUGCGCUGGAGGUCUGUAGCAACUGUGUGACCCCAGGCAUAGCAACCAGCCACACUGGGAGCCUGACUUGCUCACCAGCAAAACUACAGUAGUUAUGCACUAUUAGACCUCACAGCCAGCUGUGCCGGGGGCUUGCCCUGCCCAAUAAAUUACCUGUAGCAGCUGCAUACGGCCAAGCCCUACAACCAACAAACCCAGGGGCCAGCCCAGCCUACCCAUGCACCUGCAGCAAUCUCAACCCCAACACAACAGAAGGGCACAUGCAGCCCACACAGGAGACACCCCUGGAGCAUUUGGCAUAGGUGACAAGAGGGGAGCACACUGCUGGGCCCCAUAAGGCAUCUCUUACAUAGGCCAUAUUUUCAAGAUGGGGAGAUGUAGCUGAUCUACCUAAUACAUAGAAAUAAGCACAGAGAAGUAGGCAAAAUGAGGACACCAAGGAAUAUGUUCCAAAUAAAGGAACAGGACAAGUCCUCAGAAGAACUAAAUGAAACAGAGAUAAGCAAUCUACCUGAUAAAGAGUACAAACUAAAAGUCAUAAGGAUGCUCACUGAUCUUGGGAGGAGAAUAGAUGAAUACAGUCAGAACUUCAAGAAAGAAUUAGAAAGUAUAAAAAAAGAAGCAAUCAGAAAUGAAGAAUACAAUAAUGGAAAUGAAAAAUUCACUAGAGGGACUCAAUAGCAGAGUAGAUGACACCAAAGAACUGAUCAGUGAUCUGGACAAAAGAGUAGAGGAAAUCACCCAGCCUGAGUAGAAAAAGGAAAACAGUGUUAAUAAGAAUGAGGACAGUCUAAGGGACCUCUGGGACAACAACUAGUGUACUAACAUCUGCAUUAUAGGUGUCCCAGAAGGAGAAGAGAGAGACAAAGGGGCAGAGACCUUAUUUGAAGAAAUAAUAGCUGAAAACUUCCCUAACCUGGGGAAGGAAACAGACAUCCAGGUAUGGGAAGCACAAAGAGCACAAAACACGAUGAAUCCAAAGAGGCCCACACCAAGACACAUUAUAAUUAAAAUGUAAAUAUCUAAAAGAGAGACUCCUAAACUUCAAGAGAAAAGCAACAAGUUACAUACAAAGGAAACCCCAUAAUGCUAUUAGCUGACUUCUCAGCAGAAGCCUCACAGGCUAGAAGGCAGUGGCAUGAUAUAUUCAAAGUGCUGAAAGGAAAAAACCUACAGCCAAGAAUUCUCUGCCCAGCAAGGUUAUCAUUCAGAAUGGAAGGAGAGAUAAAGAGCUUUCCAAACAAGCAAAAACUAGGAGUUCAUUACCACUAAACCAGCCUUACAAGAAAUGUCAAAGGGAUUUAUUUAAGUGUAAAAGAAAAGACCACAAAUAAGAAUAAGAAAAUUAUCAAAGAAAAAAUAUCACUAGUAAAGGCAAGUAUACAAGAAAAGUAGAGGAUCAACCACCUAUAAAACUAGUAUGAAGGUUAAAAGACAAAAGUACUAAAAUCAUCUGUAUGUAUGAUAAGAGUUUAAGGGAUACACAAAAAUAAAAGAAGUAAAAUACAAUAUCAGAAAACGUGAGGGAGGAGAGUAAAAGUGUAGGGCUUUUAGUAAGAGGUCAAACUUAAGAGACCAUCAACUUAAUAUAGAUUGCUAUUUACAUAGGUUAUUAUAUAUGAACCUCAUGGCAACCACAAACCAAAAACCUAUAAUAGAUACACAAAAAAGACAGAGAGAGGAACCCAAAUAUAACACUAAAGAAAGCAUCAAAUCACAAGGGAAGAGAGCAAAAAAAGAAGAAAAGAACAGAGAAGAACUACAAAAACAUCCAGAAAAAAAGUAACAAAAUGACAAUAAGUACACACUUAUCAAUAGUUACUUUAAAUGUAAAUGGACUAAACACUCCAAUCAAAAGACAUAGGGUGGCUGAAUGAAUUUAAAAAAGACCCAUAUGUAUGCUGCAUACAAGACCUAAAGACACUCACAAACUGAAAGUGAAGGGAGGGGGAAGAUAUUCCAUGCAAAUGGGAAGAAAAAAAAAGCUGGGGUAUCAAUACUUCUAGCAGAUAAAUUAGACUUUAAAACAAAAACUAUAACAAGAGACAAAGAAGGGCACUACAUAAUGAUAAAAGGAAGGAUCCAACCAAAGGAUAUAACACAUUUAAGUAUCUAUACUCCCAACACAGGAGCACCUAAAUAUGUAAAGCAAAUAUUGACAGACAUAAAAGGAGAAAUAGACAGUAACACAAUAAUAGUGGGGGACUUUAACACUCCAGUUAUAUCAAUAGAUAGGUCAUCCAGACAGAAGACCAAUAAAGAAACAUUUACCUUAAAUGACACAUUAGACCAGGUGGAUUCAAUAGAUAUAUACAACAUUCCAUCCAAAAACCACAGAAUACACAUUCUUCUCAAGUGCAAAUGGAACAUUCUCCAGGAUUGAUCACAUAUUAGGCCACAAGAGAAGUUUCAAUAAAUUAAGAAGACUAAAAUAAUAUCAAGCAUCUUUUCUGACCAUAACAUUAUGAAACUAGAGAUCAACUACAAGAAGAAAGCUGCAAAAGCCACAGAUAUGUGGAGAUUAAAUAAAAUGCUACUGAACAACUAUUGGGUCAAUGAAUAAAUCAAAGGAGAAGUCCUAAAAUACCUGGAGACAAAUGAAAAUGGAAAUAUGAAAUACCCAAAUCUAUGUGAUGCAGCAAAACUAUACUAAGAGAGAAGUUUAUAGCAAUACAGGCCUUCCUCAACAAACAAGAAAAAUCUCAAAUAAGCAACCUAACAAUACUCCUAAAGGAACUAGAAAAAGAAGAAUAAAUAAAGCCCAAAAUCAGUAGUAGAAAGGAAAUAAUAAAAAUCAGAGCAGAAAUAAAUGAAAUAGAGACUAAAAAGACAAAAGAAAAGAUCAAUGAAACUAAGUGCUGGUUCUUUGAAAAGAUAAACAAAAUUGACAAAUAAUUAGCUAGAUUUACAAAGAAAAAAAGAAAAGAUUUGGGUUGGCCCAUGGCCUAGUGGUUAAGUUUGGUGUGCUCCACUAUGGUGGCCCAGGUUUGGUUCCUGGACACAGACCUACAUCACUUGUCAAGCCAUGCUGUGGUGGCAACCCACAUACAAAAUACAGGAAGACUGGCACAGAUGUUAGCUCAGGGUGAAUCUUCCUCAAGCAAAAAGGAGAUUGGCAACAUAUGUUAGCUCAGGGCCAACUUCCUCACAUAAAAAAAGGAAAGAAAGAAAGAAAAGACUCAAAUAAAUAUAAUCAGAAAUGAAAGAGGAGAAAUUACAAAUAAUACCACAGAAAUACAAAGGAUUAUAAGAGAAUACUACAAAAAGUUAUAUACCAAUAACUUGAAUAAUUUAGAAGAAACUGAUACAUUCUAAGAAUUAUACAAACUUCCAAAACUGAGUCAAAAGGACAUAGAGAAUAUGAAUAGACUAAUCACUAGUAAGGAGAUCAAAACAAUAAUCAAAAUUCUCCCCAAAACAAAAGUCCAGGACCAGAUGGCUUCCCCAUUGAAUUCUACCAAUCAUUCAAAGAAGAUUUAAUACCUAUCCUUCUCAAACUCUUCCAAAACAAUUGAAGAGGAGGGGAUGCUUCCUAACUCAUUCUAUGAGGCCAACAUUACCUUGAUACCAAAACCAGACAAGGACAACACAAAAAAGAAAAUUACAGGCCAAUAUCACUAAUGAACAUAAGUCCUCAGCAAAAAAUCCUUAACAAAAUGCUAGCAAACUGAAUACAACAAUAGAUUAAAAGGAUCACACACCAUGAUCAAGUGGGAUUUAUUCUGGGGAUGCAAGGAUGGUUCAACAUCCACAAAUCAAUCAAUGUCAUGCACUACAUUAAUAAAAUUAAGAAUAAAAAUCACAUGAUCAUCUCAAUAGAUGCAGAGAAAGCAUUUGACAAGAUAAGGCAUCCAUUUAUUAUAAAAACCCUGAAUAAAAUGGGUAUAGAAGGAAAGUACCUCAACAUAAUAAAGACCAUAUAUGGCAAACCUGCAGCUAAAAUCAUACUCAAUGGUGAAAAAUUGAAAACUAUCCCUCUAAGAACAGGAACAAGAUAAGGAUGCCCUUUUUCACCACUUUUAUUUCACACAGUAUCAGAAGUCCUAGCCAGAGCAAUUAGGCAAGAAAAAGAAAUAAAAGGGAUUCAAAUCGGAAAGAUAGAAGUAAAAGUGUCACUAUUUGCAGAUAACAUGAUUUUAUAUAUAGAAAACCCUAAAGAAUUCACCAAAAACUAUUAGAAAUAAUAAACAAAUACAGUAAAGUUGCAGGGUACAAAAUCAACAUCCAAAAAUCAGUUGUGUAUCUAUACACUGACAACAAACUAGCAGAAAGAGAAAUCAGGAAUACUGUCCCAUUUACAAUCACAACAAAAAGAAUAAAAUACCUAGGAAUAAACUUAACCAAAGAGAUGAAAGACUUGUACACUGAAAAUUAUAAAACACUGUUGAAAGAAAUUGAAG